This 320-nucleotide long non-coding RNA is filed under the name Olea europaea (common olive). Its description in RNAcentral is "long non-coding RNA (OEUR_LNC014210)". Lineage: Eukaryota; Viridiplantae; Streptophyta; Magnoliopsida; Lamiales; Oleaceae. The record is from RNAcentral.
AAAAGCAAUUUAUCCAUACACAGUAGCUUCAAAGCUCAGCGAAGCAUGCCAGCAGAUAAUUACAGUAAAUAUGUCAUUCCAAUGCAUAUAAACAAUAUCAGCAUGAAUUUCGAAAUCACUGCAUUACUUCUAUGACAAAAUUCCUGAUUUGGUAACAUACAUCAAAAUAUAUGGAUGGUAUACAUUAACAAAUUUUCGCUUGUAAUAAUCUAAUCCCUUGUUGGUCCAAAAAACUAGUACUGUAAUUCGUCAUCAUCAAAGUUUUAACCAAACACGGAAAUAUCAAGACCUUCAAAUAGUUUGAACCACCCUAAUUCGAC